GCCACCGUCGCAACUGGCGAGCCACAGCAGCGGGCGGCUGAAGGAGUACAAUUUAGUGCGAGCGUUUUUUGUGAAUUUGCUCGACAUGUUGCUCAGUCAGUUCGAUAUUGGAAUUUGCAUUUGACGUGCCGUGGAGCGGAUGAUCGGAUUUGCGGAAUUCAGUAUAAAGUCUAAAUCCUCGUAUGCGUCGCCGUGUCGUUGCAGCUGUGAGCCGAUGGAGCGUGGCACUGCUGCUUGUAUGUGCGGUGCGAAUAUCACCAGCUAUCGCCAUAGUGGAUGCUGAGAGCUGUUGGAAUGACAGUGAAGCAUGUCUCAUACAAGCAACGCUGCAUCGGGUGGACGAACCACCGCAAUCCACGGGUUUGGCGGUGCAAAUCGAUUGCCAAACAAACACAGCUGGUGAAAACAAUCGCGCGCCCGCUUAUCUAUUGCGACCAAUGGAAAGUUUGCUGCUCGAUGGCUGUCACACGCCGCUAGACGUGGUAACGUACGGCAUGGAGUAUCUGCCCUACUGCGGCACAGUGCCGCAAGUCUAUAUGGAGCGCUUCCAUGCAGAUACGCUGCAGCCAUUCAGUUGUCCAGCUGCGAACAACAGCGUCCUGGAGGUGGAGAUUUUGCGCUAUCAUAAUAAUGAAUUGGCCACAGUAGGCACAGGCGCGUUCGCGAAUCUGCCGCGUUUGCGAGAACUGUACUUCGUACGCAACACGCUGCGCCACAUAGCGCGAACGGCGUUUGAUACGCUACGCGUCGUGGAGCGCAUUUAUAUUGCGCACGAGCCCUUGUUGGCGCUGAAGGACGGCGAUCUGUUUGAACGCACCGGCGUUGCUGAUCUACAGCUGAUACAGUUGAAACACAUCACGUCCGACCUAUUUGGCCAUCUGCCUGAGACGCUGCGUCAAUUAGUCGUCACACGCACCACUUUCGAUGACGACACCGUUGUGGUGAGUAACCCUCAGCUGCUGCGCAAUAUAUCAAUCAACGGCUGCACCUUGAAAUCGUUUACGCUGCUCGAGUCCGCGCAAACAACUAGCGUGCGUUACAUCAACUUGAGUGGCAAUGCUUUGAAUGAAUUUCGUGUGGAUUUUCUCAGCGAUGGCAGCAACACGUCGAUUGUGGCCGUGGAAACGCUUGAUUUGAGCGAAAAUCAUUUGACGCAAUUGCCGUUGUUAUGGCUGAGUGAACUGAGAAAACUGCGCCAUUUACUGCUACGCGGAAAUCAGCUGAAGAUUCUCUCAUUAACGGAGUUGAUGUCCGCCACACCGACGCUAAAGUCAUUGGAUUUGCGCGACAAUGAGCUGACGUCAUUACACGAUGCAGCAGCCGUGACCGCCUUGAGUUGGGAGCAAGUGCGUAUACAAAUCGACCGUAAUCCAUGGCAUUGCCUAUGGUUGCUCGACUUUGCGCACACACACCCCGAGAAGUUCCGUGCCUUCCAAUACGCCAAAUACAUUUCGCAAAUUAAUGUGAACGGUUUGCAAUGCGUGCCGGUGGAAGUGCCUGUUUUAGCGGACAAUGUCACGGAAAGUGAGCCACCUGUGAAUGAAACAACAACAACACUAGCCCCGACGAUGGUGAGAGGUAUUCAAAUUCAUGGACGGAAUAUGGGUGUGGUGAACGCCUCCACCUACAAGCUAAUCUACGGCGGUCCGUGGGAAUAUAAACGCAGUCAACGCGCCGAGGCGCUAAUAAUUGUGUUUAUGCUGCCGGUGGGCGUGGCACUACUAUUUCUUUUACUCUAUAUGUGGAUCAAUUGUCAGAAGGUGUUUCACUUGUCGUAUUAUCGUUCCUUUAGUUGGCCGCAACGCAAUAUCGGCAGGCGUUUUACGAGCGCGGAGCGUUUCGAUGUGGUGCGCCAGCUGCCGCCGACUCCGAAUGCCUUGAAUGACAACACUAACAAUAACGAAGACUACGAGACGCCUUUGAAUGGCAUCGGCUCUGUGUGCAACUGCAACAAUAUUGGCGUGGCAACAUACGCCAAUGAGAAAUGCAACAAACCUCAUCACAUCACCUACGAAGAAUUACCAACGGAACGGCCUUAUAAAAUCUACGAGGAGAUAAUUGGCGAUGACACAGACACCGAGACGUAUGCGCAACCUUUUUACGAUCACCUUUCGUUUACGCAUCCGACCAAAAGCGAUGUCACCGAUUCCACAUGAAACGGAGGUAAAUGUGUAAAUACACCUAUUUACAUAUGUAUGUAUGUAUGUGCAUAUGUGCGAUUAAGCGUAUUAAAGCCGUGGAUUGUGUAGCGCUAGUAUUGUGAAGAAACUAUUGGCAUGCAAACAGUGGGAAAAAACUAUGAAGCAAAGAAAUAUUCUACAUUUUUAUAAAUUCUUAAUGUGGUGAAAAAGAGAAUUAUUAGAUUUAUGAGUGUCUGGCUGUUAAAAUACUAAAAAUUUAAAGUGGCUGAUUAAUUUUGUCGAAGUGAUUACUGCACGAAGCAAGAUUACAUACAUACAUAUGUACAUAUGUAUAUACAACUGGUUACCCAUCAUUUCCAUUAACGGACACAAUUCUGUACGUAUGAAGCAGAGAUUUGUACUUACGCAUGUAUAUGUUUAUGUAUAUAUAAUAUUAUAUAUUUAUAGUAGUUCUUAUUGGUCGAUGUCUUAUUUUGAUAUUUUUUUGACAAUUAUAUUUACGCAGUUUGUAUAAAAAAAAUUAUGUAAUGAAAGUGUAAAUAAAUGGUGCUAAUUAA
RNA transcript from Bactrocera oleae (olive fruit fly), 2698 nucleotides. RefSeq lists it as uncharacterized. Lineage: Eukaryota; Metazoa; Arthropoda; Insecta; Diptera; Tephritidae. The record is from RefSeq and is a predicted model, not a curated record.